Molecule: ribosomal RNA, 119 nt
Organism: Dendrobium catenatum
Lineage: Eukaryota; Viridiplantae; Streptophyta; Magnoliopsida; Asparagales; Orchidaceae
Source: RefSeq, a predicted model, not a curated record
GGGUGCGACAAAACUAGCACUAGUGCACCAGAUCCCAUCAGAACUCCGCAGUUAAGCAUGCUUAGGUGAGAGUAGUAUUGGGAUGGGUGACUUCCUGGGAAGUCCUCAUGUUGCACCAU